GACGAACGCUGGCGGCGUGCCUAAUACAUGCAAGUAGAACGCUGAAGGAGGAGCUUGCUCUUCUGGAUGAGUUGCGAACGGGUGAGUAACGCGUAGGUAACCUGCCUGGUAGCGGGGGAUAACUAUUGGAAACGAUAGCUAAUACCGCAUAACAGUAGAUGUUGCAUGACAUUUACUUAAAAGGUGCAAUUGCAUCACUACCAGAUGGACCUGCGUUGUAUUAGCUAGUUGGUGGGGUAACGGCUCACCAAGGCGACGAUACAUAGCCGACCUGAGAGGGUGAGAGGCCAAACUGGGACUGAGACACGGCCCAGAAUCCUACGGGAGACAGCAGUAGGGAAUCUUCGGGAAUGGACGGAAGUCUGACCGAGCAACGCCGCGUGAGUGAAGAAGGUUUUCGGAUCGUAAAGCUCUGUUGUAAGAGAAGAACGAGUGUGAGAGUGGAAAGUUCACACUGUGACGGUAUCUGACCAGAAAGGGACGGCUAACUACGUG
RNAcentral lists this ribosomal RNA (495 nucleotides) under uncultured bacterium. RNAcentral's name for it is "partial 16S ribosomal RNA". It matches the Rfam family "Bacterial small subunit ribosomal RNA", at positions 28 to 507 of the family's 1533-position model. The record is from RNAcentral.